Molecule: ribosomal RNA, 447 nt
Filed under: uncultured bacterium
Lineage: Bacteria
Description: partial 16S ribosomal RNA
Rfam family: Bacterial small subunit ribosomal RNA
Source: RNAcentral
AACGAACGCUGGCGGCAGGCUUCAUACAUGCAAGUCGAACGGCCCGCAAGGGCAGUGGCGCACGGGUGCGUAACACGUGGGAAUAUGCCCUUCAGUACGGAGCAACGUCGGGAAACUGACGCUAAUACCGUAUAAUGUCUCCGGACCAAAGAUUUAUCGCUGAAGGAUUAGCCCGCGCCUGAUUAGGUAGUUGGAGAGGUAAUGGCUCACCAAGCCGACGAUCAGUAGCUGGUCUGAGAGGAUGAUCAGCCACACUGGGACUGAGACACGGCCCAGACUCCUACGGGAGGCAGCAGUAAGGAAUAUUGGACAAUGGGGGAAACCCUGAUCCAGCCAUGCCGCGUGAGUGAAGAAGGCCUUCGGGUUGUAAAGCUCUUUUACCCCUGACGAUAAUGACGGUAAGGGGAGAAAAAGCCACGGCUAACUUCGUGCCAGCCGCCGCCGUAA